UCCCUGGUGGCUCAGUUGGUAAAGAAUCCACCUGCAAUGUGGGAGACCUGGGUUCGAUCCCUGGGUUGGGAA
This is a non-coding RNA of Bos taurus (domestic cattle), 72 nucleotides long. Lineage: Eukaryota; Metazoa; Chordata; Mammalia; Artiodactyla; Bovidae. The record is from Rfam.